Molecule: ribosomal RNA, 448 nt
Filed under: uncultured bacterium
Lineage: Bacteria
Description: partial 16S ribosomal RNA
Rfam family: Bacterial small subunit ribosomal RNA
Source: RNAcentral
UCCCAGACUCCUACGGGAGGCAGCAGUGGGGAAUAUUGGGCAAUGGGCGCAAGCCUGACCCAGCAAUGCCGCGUGAAGGAAGAAGGCCUUCGGGUUGUAAACUUCUUUUAUCAGGGACGAAGGAUGUGACGGUACCUGAUGAAUAAGCUCCGGCUAACUACGUGCCAGCAGCCGCGGUAAUACGUAGGGAGCAAGCGUUGUCCGGAAUUACUGGGUGUAAAGGGAGCGUAGGCGGGGAUGCAAGUUGGGUGUCAAAACUAUCGGCUCAACCGAUAGUCGCACUCAAAACUGCAGCUCUUGAGUGAAGUAGAGGCAGGCGGAAUUCCUAGUGUAGCGGUGAAAUGCGUAGAUAUUAGGAGGAACACCAGUGGCGAAGGCGGCCUGCUGGGCUUUUACUGACGCUGAGGCUCGAAAGUGUGGGGAGCAAACAGGAUUAGAUACCCGCGUA